Molecule: ribosomal RNA, 508 nt
Filed under: uncultured bacterium
Lineage: Bacteria
Description: partial 16S ribosomal RNA
Rfam family: Bacterial small subunit ribosomal RNA
Source: RNAcentral
GACGAACGCUGGCGGCGUGCCUAAUACAUGCAAGUCGAACGCUUCUUUCCUCCCGAGUGCUUGCACUCAAUUGGAAAGAGGAGUGGCGGACGGGUGAGUAACACGUGGGUAACCUACCCAUCAGAGGGGGAUAACACUUGGAAACAGGUGCUAAUACCGCAUAACAGUUUAUGCCGCAUGGCAUAAGAGUGAAAGGCGCUUUCGGGUGUCGCUGAUGGAUGGACCCGCGGUGCAUUAGCUAGUUGGUGAGGUAACGGCUCACCAAGGCCACGAUGCAUAGCCGACCUGAGAGGGUGAUCGGCCACGCUGGGACUGAGACACGGCCCAGACUCCUACGGGAGGCAGCAGUAGGGAAUCUUCGGCAAUGGACGAAAGUCUGACCGAGCAACGCCGCGUGAGUGAAGAAGGUUUUCGGAUCGUAAAACUCUGUUGUUAGAGAAGAACAAGGACGUUAGUAACUGAACGUCCCCUGACGGUAUCUAACCAGAAAGCCACGGCUAACUACGUG